AGUGCGAAUGCUGACAUGAGUAACGAUAAGGGGGGUGAAAAACCUCCCCGCCGGAAGAUCAAGGUUUCCUGUCCAACGCUAAUCGGGACAGGGUGAGUCGGCCCCUAAGGCGAGGCAGAGAUGCGUAGUCGAUGGGAAGCAGGUUAAUAUUCCUGCACUUCUUUAUAUUGCGAUGGGGGGACGGAGAAGGCUAGGCCAGCGCGGCGAUGGUUGUCCGCGUUUAAGGUUGUAGGCUGGUGACUUAGGUAAAUCCGGGUUGCUAAGGCCGAGAACUGAUGACGAGCUUCGAGCGAAAGCGACAAGUGAAGUGGUCGAUGCCAUGCUUCCAGGAAAAGCCUCUAAGCUUC
Molecule: ribosomal RNA, 347 nt
Filed under: Proboscia inermis
Lineage: Eukaryota; Bacillariophyta; Melosirophyceae; Probosciales; Probosciaceae
Description: partial Bacterial large subunit ribosomal RNA
Rfam family: Bacterial large subunit ribosomal RNA
Source: RNAcentral